Non-coding RNA from Elaeis guineensis (African oil palm), 2441 nucleotides. The record is from RefSeq and is a predicted model, not a curated record. Lineage: Eukaryota; Viridiplantae; Streptophyta; Magnoliopsida; Arecales; Arecaceae.
AUGUAUUAAUCCUACGCCCGGUAGGCGUUCGAUAGCGUGAUUUCUUUUUAAUUUUCCCCUAUUUUUUCUUCAAUUUUUUCCCGGAAAAAAGAAGAAAUAACGCGAGAGAGCGGAUGUCUUAGGGCUUCAUCUCUGCUUUAGGUAGGGUUUUCGCGGAUCUCUCGCUAGGGUUUUUCCGAGAGCUGGGGGUUUUGGGAAGGAAGGAUCGCCGGGGCGAAGGAGAGGGUGCGAUUGAUGGAUACGGCCUCGCAAUUGAGCGAAGACGAGGAUGAGUUCGGGAGGAGGCAGGGCUCCUCUCAGAAAGUGGAAUUGAGUGUGAAGGUGGAUGGGAAGGGUGGCGGGCAGAAGCCGGGCACACCAACCACGCCAAGAUCGAAGCACUCUGCAACAGAGCAGCGACGAAGGUACAAAAUUAAUGAUAGGUUCCAGAUACUUAGAGACCUUAUACCACAUAGUGAUCAGAAGCGAGAUAAAGCUUCAUUUCUUUUGGAGGUUAUUGAAUAUAUUAAAUUCUUACAAGAGAGGUUGCAAAAAUAUGAACCAUACCAGGGAUGGUGUCCAGCAAAUGCAAAGUUAAUGCCAUGGAGUAACAGCCAGGGCCCUACAGAUGGUGUAUCUGACUCUUCUCAUGUCUUUAAAAAUGGGCCUUCUCCCCCUGGGUUUAUGUUCACUGAGAAGUUUGUUGACAAUACCAUCCCUAUUGCCCCGACAAUGCUCUCACACACACAGAAUGUGGAAGAACCAGACAUGAAUCCUGGUACAGGUGCGGUGCUCGUUCCUUUGCAGCCAAACUUUUGUGCUUCUGUUGGAAUGGAAUCUGGUUUAACAGAGCCUCAGGAGGGGUUAAUUUCAGAUUCAGAUAACAUGGCAUCACAGUCCCAAUCAUGGCAGAGACCGUCAGGCCCAGCUGACUGUAAUAUCGGCGGGGAUAUGUUGAGUGAACAGGAAGAGCUAGCCAUUGAUGAGGGCACAAUCAGCAUUUCUAGUGUCUACACUCAAGGGAUAUUGACCACACUAACACAAGCACUGGAGAGUUCAGGUAUAGAUCUAUCUCAAGCCAGCAUCUCCGUGCAGAUUAAUCUAGGUAAACGGGCGAUCAGUAGAAGACCAACUGCCACCACUACUAUGUCUGGUGCUAAGGAUCAUGAAGACCCCUCAGCUGUUAAUCAAGUAAUGGGGGACUCGAGGGUGGGGAGCAGUGGUGAGGAAUCUGAGCAAGCUCUGAAGAGGCAUAAAGUUGAUAGCAGCUAAUGCUACAUCUUUGGAUCCUCUUAUUUACCUUAUACUAAAUCAAAGAUGAAUGUUCGAGCCUUUGCAGAUGGGCAUAACGGCAUUAUGUAUUCUUGCUUAUGUCUUCUAGUGAAGUGGCUUCCAUGACAAAUUGAGAAGCUACUUCAUUUCAGGCUUUUUUCCUGUUAGGAGGGCUCACAGUACUUCAUCCUUGUAAGCUGUUUGAUUGAGUUGAUGGAGGUGGAGCAUCGGGCAAUUGUGGAACUGAUUAUUGUGAUGCUAUUUCUUCAUGUAGAUUGAUUGGAAUACAGAGAACUAGAUGAUUCACAUCAUUAUUUUUUUCCUUUCCCAUAACCGGAUACUCCAGCUUAUCAUUCAUUGCUGAAAUUGUGCAGCUUUUCUUCAUUCUCCCCCAUAGGGUGCCUAGAUUUAGGAGUAUAUAUCAGGUCAUAAAGGAUACACUCAACAAGCCAUAGGGCUGUCGAAUAGAACAAGCUGUUUUUACAGCUCGGCUUUAGCUUGCUACCGUAGGUUGUACAGAAGCCUUCUCUUCAUCCCUGAUAGCUUAGGAACUGCAAACAGAAACUCCAGCGUCCCAGAUAACCAUCAUUCAACCUUAACCCUUCUCCAUUGCUAUGGGCCAAUGGCAGAGAUGUUAGCUAAUCAUUCUUCUUGUUCUUCAUCAACAAUGUAUCGAACGGGCCGAGGAUGCAUGUCAUAGGGUGAUGUAUUAAGGGUUUCAGGGUUAAUGAUGAUGAUAAUUGAGGUUGAACUAUGGCUUUUCGAGAUUUUUGCUAGAAAUAAAGAUCUCAUGGAGCAUGCAUAGUUCUCGACCUCUUUCAGUGGUCUCUCUGCUCACCUGGCCAUCCACUCCUUGUUGCUGGGCAAUCUCCCCCCGUUGAGACCUAUCAAGCUGAACUCACGUUUGAUGAUCGAUAAGUUGAGCUCAAGCUCUCGCUAGAGUUGAGACCCCUGCUAGCACCAUCACACGUUCACCAAAUCAAAUGCCUCAAAUUGAAGAGGUUUGCAAGCUCAUCUGGGUUCUUCCUUGUAGGGGCAUUUUUUUAAAAUCUAUUAUCCUCAACAAUCUGAAGCUAGAAAUCACUGCAUCAUUCGGCCGGGUCAUGUGUUUAUUUCUGUACAUGAACAAAGAAGGAAGGUGGGGACACUGACAUGCUUUUGUUUAAAGAAUAUGACUGCUGUUUCAGAUU